Molecule: ribosomal RNA, 500 nt
Filed under: Disconectes sp. 1 SB-2021a
Lineage: Eukaryota; Metazoa; Arthropoda; Malacostraca; Isopoda; Munnopsidae
Description: partial 16S ribosomal RNA
Rfam family: Archaeal large subunit ribosomal RNA
Source: RNAcentral
UCAAAAACAUCUCCUUUUAAAUAAAAGGUAGACUCUGCUCCAUGAACUUUUAAAUAGCCGCAGUAUUUUGACUGUGCUAAGGUAGCAAAAUAAAUAGUUUUAUAAUUGAAAACUAGAAUGAAUGAGUUGACGAGGUUAAAACUUUUAUUUUUAAACAAAUAAAAAAUUUUAUAUCUGCUUCAAAAAGAGCAGCUCAACUAAGGGGACGAUAAGACCCUAUAAAGCUUAUAAAUUUUAAAUUUAAAUUAUUAUUUAAGAAAAUUUAAUUAUAAAUUUAGAAUUGAGCUGGGGCGGUUUUUAAAAUUCUUUAAAAAAAUUAACACUUUUAGUGUUUAGGUAGCUCUAAAAAGAAAAUAGAACAAGCUACUUUAGGGAUAACAGCACAAUUUUCUUAAAUAGAUCUUAUAGAAAAGAAAGACUUGUGACCUCGAUGUUGAAUUUUGAGGGGCUAUUUUUAAGCAAAAAUAAAGAUAAGAAGUCUGUUCGACUUUUAAUCCCUC